GAUGAAGAACGUAGCGAAAUGCGAUACGUAAUGUGAAUUGCAGAAUCCCGUGAACCAUCGAGUCUUUGAACGCAAGUUGCGCCUCAAGCCAUUAGGUUGAGGGCACGUCUGCCUGGGCGUCACAUAUCGUUGCCUGAUGCCAGUUUCCUCGUGAUGGGUGACUGUGCAGGGCGAAUGAUGGCUUCCCGUGAGCAUUGUUGCCUCAUGGUUGGUUGAAAAUUGAGUCCUUGGUAGGGAGCGCCGUGAUAGAUGGUGGUUGAGUGACGAACGAGACCCAAUCAUGUGAGACCCCUACCGAAUUUGGCCUUCAUGACCCACAUGCGUCUUUGGAACGCUCAUGACGAGACCUCAGGUCAGGCGGGGCUACCCGCUGAGUUUAAGCAUAUCAAUAAGCGGAGGA
RNAcentral lists this unclassified non-coding RNA (400 nucleotides) under soil metagenome. RNAcentral's name for it is "partial contains 5.8S ribosomal RNA, internal transcribed spacer 2, and large subunit ribosomal RNA". The stretch from base 1 to 122 matches the Rfam family "5.8S ribosomal RNA", at positions 35 to 154 of the family's 154-position model. The record is from RNAcentral.